UCGGGAAUUUUGGGCAAUGGGCGCAAGCCUGACCCAGCAACGCCGCGUGAAGGAUGAAAUCCCUCGGGAUGUAAACUUCGCAAGAAUGGGAAGAAUAAGAGAGCACGAACACUGCUUUCGAUGACGGUACCAUUUGUAAGCUCCGGCUAACUCCGUGCCAGCAGCCGCGGUAAUACGGGGGGAGCAAGCGUUGUUCGGAUUUACUGGGCGUAAAGGGCGCGUAGGCGGUCAGCGCAAGUCAGUUGUGAAAUCUCCGAGCUUAACUCGGAUCGGUCAACUGAUACUGCGCGACUAGAGUGCAGAAGGGGCAACUGGAAUUCUCGGUGUAGCGGUGAAAUGCGUAGAUAUCGAGAGGAACACCUGCGGCGAAGGCGGGUUGCUGGGCUGACACUGACGCUGAGGCGCGAAAGCUAGGGGAGCGAACGG
RNAcentral lists this ribosomal RNA (426 nucleotides) under uncultured bacterium. Its description in RNAcentral is "bacterial SSU rRNA". It matches the Rfam family "Bacterial small subunit ribosomal RNA", at positions 355 to 775 of the family's 1533-position model. The record is from RNAcentral.